UGCCAGCAGCCGCGGUAAUACGGGAGUGGCAAGCGUUAUCCGGAAUUAUUGGGCGUAAAGCGCCUGUAGGUGGUUUUUUAAGUCCAUUGUAAAAGCGUUCAGCUCAACUGGAUAUCAGCGAUGGAAACUGAAAGACUUGAGUAUGAGAGGAGUAGAGGGAAUUCUCAGUGGAGCGGUGGAAUGCGUAGAUAUUGAGAAGAACACCAACGGCGAAAGCACUCUGCUGGCUCAUUACUGACACUAAGAGGCGAAAGCCAGGGGAGCGAAAAGGAUUAGAUA
This 279-nucleotide ribosomal RNA is filed under the name uncultured bacterium. Its description in RNAcentral is "partial 16S ribosomal RNA". It matches the Rfam family "Bacterial small subunit ribosomal RNA", at positions 506 to 784 of the family's 1533-position model. The record is from RNAcentral.